RNAcentral lists this ribosomal RNA (435 nucleotides) under uncultured Acidobacteriota bacterium. RNAcentral describes it as "bacterial SSU rRNA". It matches the Rfam family "Bacterial small subunit ribosomal RNA", at positions 958 to 1393 of the family's 1533-position model. Lineage: Bacteria; Pseudomonadati; Acidobacteriota. The record is from RNAcentral.
AACGCGAAGAACCUUACCUGGGCUCGAAAUGCAGUGCACCGAGGUGGAAACAUCUUUUCCCGCAAGGGGUGCUGCAUAGGUGCUGCAUGGCUGUCGUCAGCUCGUGUCGUGAGAUGUUGGGUUAAGUCCCGCAACGAGCGCAACCCUUAUUGCCAGUUGCCAUCAGGUUAUGCUGGGCACUCUGGCGAAACUGCCCCGGAUAACGGGGAGGAAGGUGGGGAUGACGUCAAGUCCUCAUGGCCUUUACGUACAGGGCCACACACGUGCUACAAUGGUCGGUAUAAACCGUCGCAAACCUGCGAAGGGGAGCUAAUCGGAAAAAGCCGACCUCAGUUCGGAUUGGAGUCUGCAACUCGACUCCAUGAAGCUGGAAUCGCUAGUAAUCGCGGAUCAGAACGCCGCGGUGAAUACGUUCCCGGGCCUUGUACACACCGA